This 124-nucleotide microRNA precursor is filed under the name Prunus dulcis (almond). Its description in RNAcentral is "sRNA ncRNA". The record is from RNAcentral. Lineage: Eukaryota; Viridiplantae; Streptophyta; Magnoliopsida; Rosales; Rosaceae.
AGAAUGAGAGGAGUUGAUGAGAGGAAUGAGUAACAAAAGUGAAAACAAAAAUUAAAAACUGAAAUCUAUUUCAAAUUGUUUUCACUUUUAUUACUCAUUCCUCUCAUCCUCACUUUUAUUUUCC